GACGAACGCUGGCGGCGUGCCUAAUACAUGCAAGUAGAACGCUGAAGAGAGGAGCUUGCUCUUCUUGGAUGAGUUGCGAACGGGUGAGUAACGCGUAGGUAACCUGCCUUGUAGCGGGGGAUCACUAUUGGAAACGAUAGCUAAUACCGCAUAACAAUGGAUGACACAUGUCAUUUAUUUGAAAGGGGCAAUUGCUCCACUACAAGAUGGACCUGCGUUGUAUUAGCUAGUAGGUGAGGUAAUGGCUCACCUAGGCGACGAUACAUAGCCGACCUGAGAGGGUGAUCGGCCACACUGGGACUGAGACACGGCCCAGACUCCUACGGGAGGCAGCAGUAGGGAAUGUUCGGCAAUGGGGGCAACCCUGACCGAGCAACGCCGCGUGAGUGAAGAAGGUUUUCGGAUCGUAAAGCUCUGUUGUAAGUCAAGAACGGGUGUGAGAGUGGAAAGUUCACACUGUGACGGUAGCUUACCAGAAAGGGACGGCUAACUACGUG
RNAcentral lists this ribosomal RNA (497 nucleotides) under uncultured bacterium. Its description in RNAcentral is "partial 16S ribosomal RNA". It matches the Rfam family "Bacterial small subunit ribosomal RNA", at positions 28 to 507 of the family's 1533-position model. The record is from RNAcentral.